This 24-nucleotide microRNA is filed under the name Brachypodium distachyon (stiff brome). RNAcentral's name for it is "bdi-miR7729b-3p". Lineage: Eukaryota; Viridiplantae; Streptophyta; Magnoliopsida; Poales; Poaceae. The record is from miRBase by way of RNAcentral.
AGCAAUGGUGGUGGUUUGGAGGAG